GACGAACGCUGGCGGCGUGCUUAACACAUGCAAGUCGAACGGAAAGGCCCUGCUUUUGUGGGGUGCUCGAGUGGCGAACGGGUGAGUAACACGUGAGUAACCUGCCCUUGACUUUGGGAUAACUUCAGGAAACUCGGGCUAAUACCGGAUAGGAUCUCCUGCUGCGUGGUGGGGGUUGGAAAGUUUCGGCCGUUGGGGAUGGACUCGCGGCUUAUCAGCUUGUUGGUGGGGUAGUGGCUUACCAAGGCUUUGACGGGUAGCCGGCCUGAGAGGUGUAACGGCGACAUUGGGACUGAGAUACGGCCCAGACUCCUACGGGAGGCAGCAGUGGGGAAUAUGGCACAAUGGGCGGAAGCCUGAUGCAGCAACGCCGCGUGCGGGAUGACGGCCUUCGGGUUGUAAACCGCUUUCGCCUGUGACGAAGCGUGAGUGACGGUAAUGGGUAAAGAAGCAACGGCUAACUACGUG
This 468-nucleotide ribosomal RNA is filed under the name uncultured bacterium. Its description in RNAcentral is "partial 16S ribosomal RNA". It matches the Rfam family "Bacterial small subunit ribosomal RNA", at positions 28 to 507 of the family's 1533-position model. The record is from RNAcentral.